CUCCGAGGAUGUCGGCUGCUAACAAAAUGAGCCACAAACUAGUGGCUCAUCUGAUCAAAGGAGAAGAUAAUAUCCGACUUUAGCACCGAGUACCAGUUUCUUGCUGCUCCCUUCAGGGUGGAUGGAAAAGCUCAGCACAGGAUGGCGUCUGGCGCACCAUAGAGUAGCAUCAUUGUUCGAAAGACCUCCAGGUGGUUAACCAGAUCUGAGGUCCCAUCGUAGCUUUCGAAUUGGGAGAGCUUGAAGUUUGGC
RNAcentral lists this long non-coding RNA (252 nucleotides) under Elaeis guineensis (African oil palm). RNAcentral's name for it is "long non-coding RNA (EGUI_LNC064736)". The record is from RNAcentral. Lineage: Eukaryota; Viridiplantae; Streptophyta; Magnoliopsida; Arecales; Arecaceae.